Heterocephalus glaber (naked mole-rat) is the source of this 72-nucleotide non-coding RNA. NCBI's taxonomy places the organism in Eukaryota, Metazoa, Chordata, Mammalia, Rodentia, Bathyergidae. The record is from Rfam.
GGGGGUGUGGCUCAGUGAUGGAGCAUGUGCUUAGCAUGCACAAGUCCUGGGAUUCAAUCUCCAACAUCCCAA